AGGAGGGUUUCAAUGCCAAUUCCCAACCAAUUCCUUACAUGCCUUCGUUUAAAAUUAUAAAUAUUUAAUAGGCUUUUAUGAUGAAUUAGGCUCAUUAAAUAGCCAAAAACAGCUGUUUCAUUAUCACACAGCAAAUGCAUGAUGAAAAGUAGCCGUGCAUAACCACAAUUCUUCUAUGAGUGUAAUAGAUUGACGUCUGAUAAUCUCAUGUGGCUAUAUGGUUCUCAUCCAAGUGUAAUACGGGGCGACAUCCCCAAAAAACAGGAGCCAUGUUGAUUUCAUGGGGCAUGUUGAGGUGCCGAGACAAUGAGGUCACAAUGGUUAACAGCCAGGUUACUAAAAAUAUAGCU
This 350-nucleotide long non-coding RNA is filed under the name Phoenix dactylifera (date palm). RNAcentral describes it as "long non-coding RNA (PDAC_LNC004500)". Lineage: Eukaryota; Viridiplantae; Streptophyta; Magnoliopsida; Arecales; Arecaceae. The record is from RNAcentral.